RNAcentral lists this ribosomal RNA (442 nucleotides) under uncultured bacterium. RNAcentral describes it as "partial 16S ribosomal RNA". It matches the Rfam family "Bacterial small subunit ribosomal RNA", at positions 338 to 795 of the family's 1533-position model. The record is from RNAcentral.
CCUACGGGAGGCAGCAGUAGGGAAUCUUUCACAAUGGGCGAAAGCCUGAUGGAGCAACGCCGCGUGCAGGAUGAAGGCCUUCGGGUUGUAAACUGCUUUUAUAAGCGAGAAAUAUGAUGGUAACUUAUGAAUAAGGAUCGGCUAACUACGUGCCAGCAGCCGCGGUCAUACGUAGGAUCCGAGCAUUAUCCGGGGUGACUGGGUGUAAAGAGUUGCGUAGGUGGAAUAAUAAGUAGCUAGUGAAAUCUGGUGGCUCAACCAUUCAGACUAUUAGCUAAACUGUUAAGCUCGAGACCGUUAGGGGUAACUGGAAUUCCUAGUGUAGGAGUGAAAUCCGUAGAUAUUAGAAGGAACACCAAUAGCGUAGGCAGGUUGCUGGGACGGUUCUGACACUAAGGCACGAAAGCGUAGGGAGCAAACGGGAUUAGAUACCCGGGUAGUC